RNAcentral lists this ribosomal RNA (541 nucleotides) under Yarrowia lipolytica. RNAcentral's name for it is "eukaryotic LSU rRNA". It matches the Rfam family "Eukaryotic large subunit ribosomal RNA", at positions 47 to 664 of the family's 3401-position model. The record is from RNAcentral. Lineage: Eukaryota; Fungi; Ascomycota; Dipodascomycetes; Dipodascales.
UAAGCGGAGGAAAAGAAACCAACAGGGAUUGCCUCAGUAACGGCGAGUGAAGCGGCAAAAGCUCAAAUUUGAAACCCUCGGGAUUGUAAUUUGAAGAUUUGGCAUUGGAGAAAGCUAACCCAAGUUGCUUGGAAUAGUACGUCAUAGAGGGUGACAACCCCGUCUGGCUAACCGUUCUCCAUGUAUUGCCUUAUCAAAGAGUCGAGUUGUUUGGGAAUGCAGCUCAAAGUGGGUGGUAAACUCCAUCUAAAGCUAAAUACUGGUGAGAGACCGAUAGCGAACAAGUACUGUGAAGGAAAGGUGAAAAGAACUUUGAAAAGAGAGUGAAAUAGUAUGUGAAAUUGUUGAUAGGGAAGGAAAUGAGUGGAGAGUGGCCGAGGUUUCAGCCGCCCCUCGUGGGCGGUGUACUGCCGACGCCGAGUCAUCGAUAGCGAGACGAGGGUUACAAAUGGGAGCGCCUUCGGGCGUUCUCCCCUAACCCUCCACACUGCCACCGACGACAUAAUCCACCCAUUUCACCCGUCUUGAACAACGGGAACCA